RNAcentral lists this ribosomal RNA (639 nucleotides) under uncultured bacterium. Its description in RNAcentral is "bacterial SSU rRNA". It matches the Rfam family "Bacterial small subunit ribosomal RNA", at positions 893 to 1533 of the family's 1533-position model. The record is from RNAcentral.
GUUGAAACCUCAAAAGGAAAUGACCGGGGCCCGCACCAAGCGGUGGAAGCAUGUGGUUUCAUUCGACGCAACGGGAAGAACCUUACCAGCCCUUGACUUGUGACUCGCCGGCUCCAGAGACGGAGCCUUUCGGUUUCGGCCGGAGUCACACACAGGUGCUGCAUGGCUGUCGUCAGCUCGUGUCGUGGGAUGUUGGGUUAAGUCCCGCAACGAGCGCAACCCUCGUCUCCAGUUGCCAUCAGGUAAAGCUGGGCACUUUGGAGAAACUGCCGGUGACAAGCCGGAGGAAGGUGGGGAUGACGUCAAGUCCUCAUGGCCCUUACGGGCUGGGCUACACACGUGCUACAAUGGCGGUGACAGUGGGAUGCGAAGGGGCGACCCGGAGCCGAUCCUAAAAAGCCGUCUCAGUUCGGAUUGCACUCUGCAACUCGAGUGCAUGAAGGUGGAAUCGCUAGUAAUCGAGGAUCAGCAUGCCUCGGUGAAUACGUUCCCGGGCCUUGUACACACCGCCCGUCACGCCAUGGGAGUUGGUUCUACCCGAAGAUGGUGCGCUAACCGCAAGGAGGCAGCCAGCCACGGUAGGAUCAAUGACUGGGGCGAAGUCGUAACAAGGUAACCGUAAAUCGAAUUGGAAAGCGG